UAAUUCCAUUUUUUUACUUUUAAUUUAUUUGCUCAUGCAAUCAAAAUUUUAAAUGAUGAAGUGACAAAAGUUGCCAGUUCUGAAAUAUUUGCUUACAUGUCUUUUCAUAUUGCACUUUGUGUGUAUAUACAUACAUACAUAUAUACGUACACAUGUAUAUAAAUGUAUGUGUAUAUCUACGUAUAUGUAUUUUUUAUACUUCUAUUGUUAACAUUUCUACAUUGCAUUGUAAAUUAUAUAUAUAUAUUUCAUCCUGUAUACAUAUGUUACAUCAUAUGUAUUUUUUAACCAAAUACUGUGAACCCCAAAAGAAAAUAUGAGACUUAUUUUCUUACUAAGUUCUGCCUUCCCCAAACCUAGCUCAGUGUCUGACGUAUAGUAGUUUGUCAGUAAAUGUUACAUUGGUCUUUAGUGUUUUUAUUGUACUGAGCCAACUGUUUACACUCUGUUAUAAUAACUAUAUUAAUUCUGAAAUACCUGAAUGGUAUUCUAGGGUUUCACAUAUAGAACACUUAGAAUAUUAAACCCUUCUUGAAAUGCUGUACUAAUGUUUAACAUAAUUAAUCUAAGAAACUAAAAGUGACUAAAACAUAAUUAUUUUAACAUUAAGAUGUUAACAAACUUAUUUUCCUAAUGUUUUCUUUUUUGUAUCUCUCCCCCUGAUUUCUCAAAUCCCCCAAUUUUAGAAUUAGACUGACUUAAGACCAAUACAAAGUGACUGUUUGUCUUAAGCUUAGAGUGAGAAUGACAAAUCCACUUUUCCUGCCAAGUCCAACUCAGGACAGGUAAAAAUUCUUUCCUGAGUGCUUGCAAUAUCAUAUGGCAGAUAGAUUGUAUAUAUGAAAGGAAUAGAGAUUUUUGCUUAAAUGUAGAAAGCACGGAUAUGAUGCAAACAAUGAAAAUGGUUAUUUUGUUAGCUAAAUACUUAGGGAAAGUAUGAAAAUGCAGAGGUCCUUAAAUUGCUACUUAUAAUAAAAAUCUCAGAGAAAAAAUUAAUUAUUCUUUAUUUGUGAUUCAUCCUAUGGUUGUAAAUAGACUCAAUAUUAUAGAGAUGUCAAUUCCUUCUAUAUUAAUCCAUACUUAGGUUAAUCAGAAAUAAACAAUAAUGUUUUUGAAUUAGAGACAUUUUAGAGUUUAUAUGAGAAUAAAAUCUGCAAGAAUAAUUAAGAGAAUUCUGGUACAGAGAAGCAAUGAAAGAAGGCUAGCUUUAUAAGGUAUUAAAACACAUGAUAAAGUCUCAGUAAAUGAAAUAGUAGGGAACUGCUACCAAGAAACAGAAUAAGAAUAAACCCAAAUACAUAUGGAAAAUUCAAGUACCUAGAAAAUGGUGUGAAUGCAACUAGAAAAGUAGAAAAAAAAUAAGUUAUCUUCAUAUAUCAACCCUUACACAGACAAAAUUCCAAGAUUGAAGGUUUAAAUGCACUAAAGUGGUAGCAAGUGAAGUAGUGACUAUAAUUUUAUAGUCAGGGGGAAGAUGGAUAUGCCAGUUAUUCUAGGCAAAAAUCAACAGAAACAUGUAGGUGAAGACAAAUGUUUUACUUGGGGGAGGAUGGAGAGAAGGGUAUCAAAAUUGGUUUGAGCUGGGAAGAAAUGAUGAGUUUGAGGUGAUAGAAACCUGGGGGUGUUAUAUAUACAAGGUAGGAAUUUCGUUUGAGGCUAAAAUGUUUAUGUUAAUUUGCAUAGAAAAGGCUAAGAGAAUAUGUAGUUAUUGGGGAAAAGAGCUAAGAUCCAAAGAAGGAACUUUUGGCUGGAGAGGGGGUGGUUUAUAGGAUGUCCAGGUCAUGGGCAGCACCACAUGUUGAACAGAGGUCAUCAUAUGUGCAGAUUUGGACAGGAGAUGCAGAGGUAGCAAAAUGAGCAUGAGGAGGUAUUGCUUCUAUUUUUCACACACAAUUUUUCUAUUUUACACACUACGACUUUCAAUAAUCUUCAAUUUCCCAUACAAAAAAAAAUGUUUACCUGGCAUUUAAAAGGAGAUUAUUUAUAGGGCUCUCUUAUUUUCUUUAUAUUUUAGUAAGUCCCCAAUUCAAAAGUAUUUGUCAUAUCAGUGUUAAAUAUUACGUAACCAUGUUGCCCCCUAGUCUAGUGAAAUAGAAAUUCUACUGGUUAGGAAAUACAUAGAUAGAACAGUUUAUUUCAGGAGGAGAAGAUAUGUUAUAAAAGGAGCUAUUAAAAAUCAGUUCUAGCAGGAGUGUUAUUCAAUAUGUUCUAAGUUAUGCAGAAGAGAAAAUGUAGAGUGAAAUUUUCAAGUUUGAAAUUCCAAAGAUUGGACCAUAUUAUGGAGAUAAAGUAAUAAAAUUAACCAUGGUGAUCCCACCUUGGCAAUCUUUUAGAACCCCAUAUGCCCUCUAUCCUUAGUCUUUCUCAGAUGACAGCAUUUUCUUAUUAAUGUCUUCAAUGCAAACACAUAAUUUCCAAAUUAAUUAAAAGUAUAAAAAAUAUAAUCAUAUUGUGUAACUUGGAUCUUAGUGAAACUUACCUACCCAAGCAUGAGGUUCUGCCCUUGGAGAAAUACACAGGUAAACCUAAUUUAGUAAAAUAAGUCAAUUAAAAAAUGCUGAUCUUAUUUCCACUAAUCUUCGUUACAUUAUUACUUGUUAUUUUAUCUCCUUUGUAAUGUGAAACCUUCUUGGAGGCAGGGACCAUGUCUUAUUUUUAUAUUUGUAUACAUCUUUCUAUAUGGUUAGGAACUCUGCUGAGUCUUUUAUGCAUUACUGUAUGUAUUCCAUACUCCACACUAUCAAGUGGGACAUAUUUACUAUUACUACUACUACUACUGUUAUUAUUAUUUUAUUUGAGUUUUGCUAGUGAGGAAAUGGCCUCAGAGCUUAAGCAACUUUUUAAAGAUAAAACACAACUCUUUGACUCCAAAGACCAGAUUUUUAACCAACUUGUGGUAUUGCCCUGGUACCUGAACUGUAUUAAUGUUCUUAAUAUAUUUAUGGUUUAUAGGGAAAAAGGGAGCCAAAGAUGCUAAAGGGUCUUCCAGCCAAGUUAGGACAAAAAUAAACUAUAGAUGUUCAAUAUGGGAUCAUGAAGAACUAAGAUAUUAAGCUCUUAAAAGUAUUUUGAAGUCCAUGAUAUCAUCGAUGGAUGAUAAUAAGUAUGCUUAAAAUAUUACUUUUGCUGUUUUUAUUUGAAUCCUAAAAAGAACAUAGAACAAUGUAUGGUAGAUAUAACACAUCUUACUUCAAUAAACAGAGCAUGGUUUUAUAACUGGUAUAGUGAAAUCAUUGAUAUGAUCAGUUCUUACUGCUGUGAUCAGGCAAAUCGGGGGGUGGCCAUCUGUCCUGGAUGCUGUUGAAAUAAGUCUUGAUGUGGUGAGCUGGCCUCUUCCAUGGGUCAUAAAUCUACAGAAUAUAUAUAGAUCUCUAUCAUGUUGAGCGUUCAGGGAUUUCAGUUGACUUGAGAAAAGUGAAAUAGGUAGAGCAGGAACAUUAGCUCUUUUUGUUCCCUAGGAUCAGUUUAGAAGUAAACCUCUGAUUCACUUAGAACACUGGUAUUUUUGUAUACAUUUUUGGAGGCAGAUCUGAUUGCAGUUGUAAAUUUACUGAAGGGCUAAAGGCAUUGUUGGCAUCAAACCACUUACUAUUGGUAUAAGUAUUACUAAUUAGUAUUAUUCUACCUAUAAAUAUGAAUGUGAUAUUUAAAAUAAUUAGAAUGAGUCACAGUACAAAACUUUUUCCUCUCCAACUUUGUAUUAUAUUUUAUAUGUGCUUUAUUAUUGUAGAUGACAGGUACAUAAAAGUUAUAUAAUCUUGUAGAAAGUGAGAAAAUGGUCAUUUGACCCUGGAUGUAAUGAAUAAAGUGGAUCAGAGAAAUUUUCACAUAGGUUAUUUUUGUAGUCAUCGGACUUGACUAUGUAGAAAGAAUUAGGUGACAUAAAGAUAAUUUUUGAUAAGGAGCCAAGAGCGACUCUAAAAUUGCACAAUAUCAAAUUGUCUGAAGAAACCCAUUUGAAUAUGUGUUAUGGAGAAGAUUGAAAAAGUCAUAUCACCAUAUUUUGUUGAUUCAGUUUAGCCUAUGUAUUUAUAUUUAGAUAUAUGUCACUAGAUAUAUCAAGAUAAUAGAGCAUUUACUUUUAUGUUUUAUCCAUAUUGCAUAAUUAUCUGGAACGAAUUCUGUUACUUUGACCUCAAAUGUUUAAUGCAACAAGCAGAAAUAGAAUAUUAUUUUGCUUUAGGAAUGAAAAAACAAAACCAGCAGGUGCCUGAGAUUGAGUACUCGAAAUUACCAUAAUUUUAAGGCAAAGUGCCUCAUGUAUCUUAGACCUCAUCCCUCCUUUUUCUGACAGCUGACACUCAUUCCCUCUCGAUGAGGAAAUAAGUAGUCGGUGAGUGUCCGUGAUGUCAAGGAGCUGUCAUCAUCUCCACGGUGUUCCCUUGGUUAGGCAGGGCAGAAAUUAAAGGUGACCAUGCUGACAACCCAGUCUGCUCUUCUGUGCAGCCAGAAACAUACAGCAAAGCAGUUUGUGCUGGGGCUAAGUUCAGGCUUCUUAUUUUACUAUUGUGAGGAAUUCAUAGUUAAAUACACAGUACUAUUCAUAUUAUUUCUCUUAAGAAAGGAGGAGAUGAAGGUAUAUUUUUCUCCUUACUAAGAAGGUUUCAAAGAUUACAAUUAAAUCAGUAUUCGUUGGUCAGGUAGUCCUACAGAGGAAAAAAUAUAGAAACACUGAUAGUCUGGCCAGUUUUGAGCUAAUUUCAAGUAUGUAUUAGGUCAGAUUUUAAUUGCCUAUAGAAAUAUUUCCCAAGACUCAAGUCUUUAAUAUGUUUCUAGGCUUAUUUCAAUCAAAUAUUUCUGUCCCAUGAAUCCACGAUCCCACAUCUGCUUGAACCGCCCCCCAGCACCACCCAAGCUCCUUUUCUUAGUGGUACUUUUCACCUAUGUUGAUAGGCCCUUAGCUGGUGUUACCCAACUCAAUAAGCCUAAAACCUAUCUUCCCAAAUCAUCUAUUGACUAUGUUUUAUCACACGUUUCUUACCAAACAUAAUACUUUGCUUUCUCUACCUCCAAAAUCUUAUCAAUUUUAAAAAUUCUAUUCAGGAGUUCCCAUUGUGGCUCAGCAUAGUGAACCCAACUAGUAGCCAUGAGGAGGCAGGUUCGAUCCCUUAUGUUGCUCAGUGGGUUAAGGAUCUGGCGUUGCUGUGAGCUGUGGUAUAGGUCACAGACGCAGCUCAGAACCCACAUUUCUGUGGCUGUGGUGUAGGCCAGCAGCUGCAGCUCUGGUUUGACCCCUAGCCUGGGAAAUUCUGUAUGCUGCAGGUGCGGCCCUAAAAAAG
RNAcentral lists this long non-coding RNA (5279 nucleotides) under Sus scrofa (pig). RNAcentral describes it as "lncRNA (ENSSSCG00000061255.1)". Lineage: Eukaryota; Metazoa; Chordata; Mammalia; Artiodactyla; Suidae. The record is from RNAcentral.